This 253-nucleotide ribosomal RNA is filed under the name uncultured bacterium. RNAcentral's name for it is "partial 16S ribosomal RNA". It matches the Rfam family "Bacterial small subunit ribosomal RNA", at positions 524 to 776 of the family's 1533-position model. The record is from RNAcentral.
UACGUAGGGUGCGAGCGUUAAUCGGAAUUACUGGGCGUAAAGUGUGCGCAGGUGGCUGAGCAAGUCGAGUGUGAAAUCCCCGGGCUUAACUUGGGAAUUGCGCUCGAAACUACUUGGCUCGAGUGUGGCAGAGGAAGGUGGAAUUCCAGGUGUAGCGGUGAAAUGCGUAGAGAUCUGGAGGAACACCGAUGGCGAAGGCAGCCUUCUGGGCCAACACUGACGCUCAUGCACGAAAGCGUGGGGAGCGAACAGG